GAAAUGCGAUAAGUAAUGUGAAUUGCAGAAUUCAGUGAAUCAUCGAAUCUUUGAACGCACCUUGCGCCCUUUGGCUAUUCCGAAGGGCAUGCCUGUUUGAGUAUCAUGAACACCUCAACUCUCAUGGGUCUGCCAUGAUGAGCUUGGACUUUGGGGGUCUUGCCGGCCUAAACGUCGGCUCCUCUCAAAUGAAUUAGCUUGCCGGUGUUUGGCGGCAUCACAGGUGUGAUAAAUAUCUACGCUUGUGGUUUUCCGCCAGGUAACCUUCAGUGAUGGAGGUUCGCUGGAGCUCACAAAUGUCUCUCCUCAGGGAGGGACAGCUUUAUGAACGUUUGAUCUCAAAUCAGGUAGGACUACCCGCUGAACUUAA
RNAcentral lists this unclassified non-coding RNA (370 nucleotides) under uncultured Thelephoraceae. Its description in RNAcentral is "sequence contains ITS1". The stretch from base 1 to 106 matches the Rfam family "5.8S ribosomal RNA", at positions 50 to 154 of the family's 154-position model. The record is from RNAcentral. Lineage: Eukaryota; Fungi; Basidiomycota; Agaricomycetes; Thelephorales; Thelephoraceae.